UUGAAAGCUGGCGGGAGGCUUAACACAUGCAAGUCGAGCGGGGAAGGGUAGCUUGCUACGUGACCUAGCGGCGGACGGGUGAGUAAUGCUUAGGAAUCUGCCUAUUAGUGGGGGACAACAUUCCGAAAGGAAUGCUAAUACCGCAUACGCCCUACGGGGGAAAGCAGGGGAUCUUCGGACCUUGCGCUAAUAGAUGAGCCUAAGUCAGAUUAGCUAGUUGGAGGGGUAAAGGCCUACCAAGGCGACGAUCUGUAG
Molecule: ribosomal RNA, 255 nt
Filed under: uncultured bacterium
Lineage: Bacteria
Description: partial 16S ribosomal RNA
Rfam family: Bacterial small subunit ribosomal RNA
Source: RNAcentral